This 310-nucleotide ribosomal RNA is filed under the name uncultured bacterium. RNAcentral describes it as "partial 16S ribosomal RNA". It matches the Rfam family "Bacterial small subunit ribosomal RNA", at positions 503 to 807 of the family's 1533-position model. The record is from RNAcentral.
AAGAGACAGCAGUAGCCGCGGGAAUACAGAGGGUGCGAGCGUUAAUCGGAUUUACUGGGCGUAAAGCGUGCGUAGGCGGCUUUUUAAGUCGGAUGUGAAAUCCCUGAGCUUAACUUAGGAAUUGCAUUCGAUACUGGGAAGCUAGAGUAUGGGAGAGGAUGGUAGAAUUCCAGGUGUAGCGGUGAAAUGCGUAGAGAUCUGGAGGAAUACCGAUGGCGAAGGCAGCCAUCUGGCCUAAUACUGACGCUGAGGUACGAAAGCAUGGGGAGCAAACAGGAUUAGAUACCCCCGUAGUCCCUGUCUCUUAUAC